RNAcentral lists this ribosomal RNA (433 nucleotides) under uncultured bacterium. Its description in RNAcentral is "partial 16S ribosomal RNA". It matches the Rfam family "Bacterial small subunit ribosomal RNA", at positions 29 to 507 of the family's 1533-position model. The record is from RNAcentral.
AACGAACGCUGGCGGCAGGCUUAACACAUGCAAGUCGAGCGGGCCCUUCGGGGUCAGCGGCAGACGGGUGAGUAACACGUGGGAACGUACCUUUUGGUUCGGAACAACUCCGGGAAACUGGAGCUAAUACCGGAUAAGCCCUUAGGGGGAAAGAUUUAUCGCCAAAAGAUCGGCCCGCGUCUGAUUAGCUAGUUGGUGGGGUAACGGCCCACCAAGGCGACGAUCAGUAGCUGGUCUGAGAGGAUGAUCAGCCACACUGGGACUGAGACACGGCCCAGACUCCUACGGGAGGCAGCAGUGGGGAAUAUUGGUCAAUGGGCGCAAGCCUGAUCCAGCCAUGCCGCGUGAGUGAUGAAGGCCUUAGGGUUGUAAAGCUCUUUUGUCCGGGAAGAUAAUGACUGUACCGGAAGAAUAAGCCCCGGCUAACUUCGUG